UAGGGUGCAAGCGUUGUCCGGAAUUAUUGGGCGUAAAGAGAUCGUAGGCGGUUUUUCGCGUCGGAUGUGAAAACUCAGGGCUCAACCCUGAGCCUGCAUUCGAUACGGGAAGAAUAGAGGUCGGCAGGGGAGACUGGAACUUCUGGUGUAGCGGUGGAAUGCGCAGAUAUCAGAAAGAACACCAAUGGCGAAGGCAGGUCUCUGGGCCGAUCCUGACCCUGAGGAACGAAAACGUGGGGAGCAAACAGGAUUAGAUACCCUGGUAGUCCACGCCGUAAACGAUGGGCGCUAGGUGUGGGGGACAUUCCACGUUCUCUGCGCCGCAGCUAACGCAUUAA
This 338-nucleotide ribosomal RNA is filed under the name uncultured bacterium. RNAcentral's name for it is "bacterial SSU rRNA". It matches the Rfam family "Bacterial small subunit ribosomal RNA", at positions 528 to 863 of the family's 1533-position model. The record is from RNAcentral.